Long non-coding RNA from Ostrinia nubilalis (European corn borer), 451 nucleotides. RefSeq lists it as uncharacterized. The transcript has 2 exons. The record is from RefSeq and is a predicted model, not a curated record. Lineage: Eukaryota; Metazoa; Arthropoda; Insecta; Lepidoptera; Crambidae.
UCUUUCAUGUCGUUAAAAUAAUAAAAUGUUUGCUUCCAGUUUGCUUCUUCAGUAAAUAUAUUCUUGGCUUCUUCUUACACAGUUUUAAACUUUAAACUUGUCCUUUUUAUAAAUGUCCAACUGUAGUGAUUACAUAUUUGUAUAAAUAUUCAUAAGUAAUAGGUUUUGAUAAUAUUUCCUGGAUGUGGCGGGGUAUUACAUUAACUUCUGUAUCUGCUUCUGAUAAGUGAUUCAAAUCGGCUACUAGUUUUUCUUUCAUAAUGGUGUGAAAGUCCGUGAAGGGGACCUUAAAAUGCUCCGAGUGGUCUUCAUGAGGUUCAGAGUUGGCAACUUGAUCCACAAUUUCGUUCCCUGGUAUGCCUCGAUGAGACGGAAUCCACUUGAGUGAAAUUGGUUUUUUAAUUUCAUUAAUAAUGUUUCUUAUAUUAUAAAUUAAAUAAUUUGUUUUAAA